GGGUGACAGCCCCGUACACAAAAAUGCACAUACUGUGAGCUCGAUGAGUAGGGCGGGACACGUGGUAUCCUGUCUGAAUAUGGGGGGACCAUCCUCCAAGGCUAAAUACUCCUGACUGACCGAUAGUGAACCAGUACCGUGAGGGAAAGGCGAAAAGAACCCCGGCGAGGGGAGUGAAAAAGAACCUGAAACCGUGUACGUACAAGCAGUGGGAGCCUCUUAAUGGGGUGACUGCGUACCUUUUGUAUAAUGGGUCAGCGACUUAUAUUCUGUAGCAAGGUUAACCGAAUAGGGGAGCCGAAGGGAAACCGAGUCUUAACUGGGCGUUAAGUUGCAGGGUAUAGACCCGAAACCCGGUGAUCUAGCCAUGGGCAGGUUGAAGGUUGGGUAACACUAACUGGAGGACCGAACCGACUAAUGUUGAAAAAUUAGCGGAUGACUUGUGGCUGGGGGUGAAAGGCCAAUCAAACCGGGAGAUAGCUGGUUCUCCCCGAAAGCUAUUUAGGUAGCGCCUCGUGAAUUCAUCUCCGGGGGUAGAGCACUGUUUCGGCAAGGGGGUCAUCCCGACUUACCAACCCGAUGCAAACUGCGAAUACCGGAGAAUGUUAUCACGGGAGACACACGGCGGGUGCUAACGUCCGUCGUGAAGAGGGAAACAACCCAGACCGCCAGCUAAGGUCCCAAAGUCAUGGUUAAGUGGGAAACGAUGUGGGAAGGCCCAGACAGCCAGGAUGUUGGCUUAGAAGCAGCCAUCAUUUAAAGAAAGCGUAAUAGCUCACUGGUCGAGUCGGCCUGCGCGGAAGAUGUAACGGGGCUAAACCAUGCACCGAAGCUGCGGCAGCGACACUAUGUGUUGUUGGGUAGGGGAGCGUUCUGUAAGCCUGUGAAGGUGUACUGUGAGGUAUGCUGGAGGUAUCAGAAGUGCGAAUGCUGACAUAAGUAACGAUAAAGCGGGUGAAAAGCCCGCUCGCCGGAAGACCAAGGGUUCCUGUCCAACGUUAAUCGGGGCAGGGUGAGUCGACCCCUAAGGCGAGGCCGAAAGGCGUAGUCGAUGGGAAACAGGUUAAUAUUCCUGUACUUGGUGUUACUGCGAAGGGGGGACGGAGAAGGCUAUGUUGGCCGGGCGACGGUUGUCCCGGUUUAAGCGUGUAGGCUGGUUUUCCAGGCAAAUCCGGAAAAUCAAGGCUGAGGCGUGAUGACGAGGCACUACGGUGCUGAAGCGACAAAUGCCCUGCUUCCAGGAAAAGCCUCUAAGCAUCAGGUAACAUCAAAUCGUACCCCAAACCGACACAGGUGGUCAGGUAGAGAAUACCAAGGCGCUUGAGAGAACUCGGGUGAAGGAACUAGGCAAAAUGGUGCCGUAACUUCGGGAGAAGGCACGCUGAUAUGUAGGUGAAGCGACUUGCUCGUGGAGCUGAAAUCAGUCGAAGAUACCAGCUGGCUGCAACUGUUUAUUAAAAACACAGCACUGUGCAAACACGAAAGUGGACGUAUACGGUGUGACGCCUGCCCGGUGCCGGAAGGUUAAUUGAUGGGGUUAGCGGUAACGCGAAGCUCUUGAUCGAAGCCCCGGUAAACGGCGGCCGUAACUAUAACGGUCCUAAGGUAGCGAAAUUCCUUGUCGGGUAAGUUCCGACCUGCACGAAUGGCGUAAUGAUGGCCAGGCUGUCUCCACCCGAGACUCAGUGAAAUUGAACUCGCUGUGAAGAUGCAGUGUACCCGCGGCAAGACGGAAAGACCCCGUGAACCUUUACUAUAGCUUGACACUGAACAUUGAGCCUUGAUGUGUAGGAUAGGUGGGAGGCUUUGAAGUGUGGACGCCAGUCUGCAUGGAGCCGACCUUGAAAUACCACCCUUUAAUGUUUGAUGUUCUAACGUGGGCCCCUUACCGGGGUUGCGGACAGUGUCUGGUGGGUAGUUUGACUGGGGCGGUCUCCUCCUAAAGAGUAACGGAGGAGCACGAAGGUUGGCUAAUCCUGGUCGGACAUCAGGAGGUUAGUGCAAUGGCAUAAGCCAGCUUGACUGCGAGCGUGACGGCGCGAGCAGGUGCGAAAGCAGGUCAUAGUGAUCCGGUGGUUCUGAAUGGAAGGGCCAUCGCUCAACGGAUAAAAGGUACUCCGGGGAUAACAGGCUGAUACCGCCCAAGAGUUCAUAUCGACGGCGGUGUUUGGCACCUCGAUGUCGGCUCAUCACAUCCUGGGGCUGAAGUAGGUCCCAAGGGUAUGGCUGUUCGCCAUUUAAAGUGGUACGCGAGCUGGGUUUAGAACGUCGUGAGACAGUUCGGUCCCUAUCUGCCGUGGGCGCUGGAGAACUGAGGGGGGCUGCUCCUAGUACGAGAGGACCGGAGUGGACGCAUCACUGGUGUUCGGGUUGUCAUGCCAAUGGCACUGCCCGGUAGCUAAAUGCGGAAGAGAUAAGUGCUGAAAGCAUCUAAGCACGAAACUUGCCCCGAGAUGAGUUCUCCCUGACUCCUUGAGAGUCCUGAAGGAACGUUGAAGACGACGACGUUGAUAGGCCGGGUGUGUAAGCGCAGCGAUGCGUUGAGCUAACCGGUACUAAUGAACCGUGAGGCUUAACCUUACAACGCCGAAG
This 2592-nucleotide ribosomal RNA is filed under the name Escherichia coli. RNAcentral's name for it is "bacterial LSU rRNA". It matches the Rfam family "Bacterial large subunit ribosomal RNA", at positions 362 to 2925 of the family's 2925-position model. The record is from RNAcentral. Lineage: Bacteria; Pseudomonadati; Pseudomonadota; Gammaproteobacteria; Enterobacterales; Enterobacteriaceae.